GCAGUCGUACAGGUAGCCUGUAGCUUGCUCUCGGGUGACGAGUGGCGGACGGGUGAGUAAUGUCUGGGAAACUGCCUGAUGGAGGGGGAUAACUACUGGAAACGGUAGCUAAUACCGCAUAACGUCGCAAGACCAAAGAGGGGGACCUUCGGGCCUCUUGCCAUCAGAUGUGCCCAGAUGGGAUUAGCUAGUAGGUGGGGUAACGGCUCACCUAGGCGACGAUCCCUAGCUGGUCUGAGAGGAUGACCAGCCACACUGGAACUGAGACACGGUCCAGACUCCUACGGGAGGCAGCAGUGGGGAAUAUUGCACAAUGGGCGCAAGCCUGAUGCAGCCAUGCCGCGUGUAUGAAGAAGGCCUUCGGGUUGUAAAGUACUUUCAGCGGGGAGGAAGGCGACACGGUUAAUAACCGUGUUGAUUGACGUUACCCGCAGAAGAAGCACCGGCUAACUCCGUGCCAGCAGCCGCGGUAAUACGGAGGGUGCAAGCGUUAAUCGGAAUUACUGGGCGUAAAGCGCACGCAGGCGGUCUGUCAAGUCGGAUGUGAAAUCCCCGGGCUCAACCUGGGAACUGCAUCCGAAACUGGCAGGCUUGAGUCUCGUAGAGGGAGGUAGAAUUCCAGGUGUAGCGGUGAAAUGCGUAGAGAUCUGGAGGAAUACCGGUGGCGAAGGCGGCCUCCUGGACGAAGACUGACGCUCAGGUGCGAAAGCGUGGGUGAGCAAACAGGAUUAGAUACCCUGGUAGUCCACGCCGUAAACGAUGUCUAUUUGGAGGUUGUGCCCUUGAGGCGUGCCUUCCGGAGCUAACGCGUUAAAUAGACCGUCUGGGGAGUACGGCCGCGAGGGUUACAACUCAUAUGUAUUCGACGGGGGCCCGCACCACGCGGUGGAGCAUGUGCUUAAAUUCGAUGCAUACGCGAAGAUCCUCAUCUGAUCAUCGACAUCUACAGACUGCAGGAGAUGCCU
This 965-nucleotide ribosomal RNA is filed under the name Enterobacter sp. BAB1452. Its description in RNAcentral is "bacterial SSU rRNA". It matches the Rfam family "Bacterial small subunit ribosomal RNA", at positions 57 to 1009 of the family's 1533-position model. Lineage: Bacteria; Pseudomonadati; Pseudomonadota; Gammaproteobacteria; Enterobacterales; Enterobacteriaceae. The record is from RNAcentral.